RNAcentral lists this ribosomal RNA (435 nucleotides) under Mesabolivar sp. DNA100446398. RNAcentral's name for it is "partial 16S ribosomal RNA". The record is from RNAcentral. Lineage: Eukaryota; Metazoa; Arthropoda; Arachnida; Araneae; Pholcidae.
UUCCUAAGAAACUAACUUAAGAUAUUACCUGCUCCAUGUUAUUAUCAUAAAUAGCCGCAGAACUCUGUGCUAAGGUAGCAUAAUCAUUAGCUCUUUAAUUAAGAGAUAGAAUGAACGGUCAAACGAAACUUUAACUGUUUCUAAUAUUUAAAAACUAAAUUAAUCAAGUAGUUAAAACUCUACUAAAUAUAAGAAAGACGACAAGACCCUAUAAACUCAUUUAUUUAGCUGGGGCGGCAAUACUAAAAAAACCUUAAAUUAAUUCAAAUAACUAAACAAAUAAAAUUUUAUUAGAAACUAGUUACUUUAGGGAUAACAGCGCUACUUUUUUUUAAAGACCUAAUAAAAAAAAUUCCUACGACCUCGAUGUUGAAUUAUUUACCUUACCCGACGCAAAAGUUAUAAACAGGUAGUCUGUUCGACUAUUAAAAACUU